RNAcentral lists this ribosomal RNA (483 nucleotides) under Triticum aestivum (bread wheat). RNAcentral's name for it is "partial small subunit ribosomal RNA". Lineage: Eukaryota; Viridiplantae; Streptophyta; Magnoliopsida; Poales; Poaceae. The record is from RNAcentral.
AUGGUGUGGAAUUAUUUUUGGGGUUCAGAGGAUGGUAAAAGGAAAACCCACUGGUAUGCUUGGACUAAAAUGACUAGGCUAAAAGGACAUGGAGGUCUAGGUUUCAGAGAUUUUUGCCUAUUUAACCAAGCUUUGCUUGCGAGGCAGGCAUGGCGUCUCCUGGUCUUUCUAGAUAGCUUGUGUGCGCGGGUCUUAAAAGAAAAAUAUUAUCCCAACGAGCAUCUGGAGGACAUUGUUUUCUCAGGUAAUCCUUCUUCCACUUGGCAUGUUAUUAGUCAUGGUCUUGAUUUAUUAAAGAAAAGUCUUGUUUGGAGAAUUGCAAAUGGGCAGAAUGUUCGAAUAUGGCAUGACAGAUGGAUAGCUCGUGUUCCCAUGGGUGGCCUAAUAUCACAAAAAGGGACAUGUCGUAUCCGUUGGGUUUCAUUCUGGAUCAUAAUGGAGGUUGGGACGAUGUUAAAUUGCAGCAAUUUUUUCUCCGUGUAG